This 585-nucleotide ribosomal RNA is filed under the name Triticum aestivum (bread wheat). Its description in RNAcentral is "partial small subunit ribosomal RNA". Lineage: Eukaryota; Viridiplantae; Streptophyta; Magnoliopsida; Poales; Poaceae. The record is from RNAcentral.
AUGGCAAAAUUCUGGUGGGGGAGUUCCAUUGACAGAAGAUCACUUCAUUGGAUCUCAUGGGACAAGCUUGCAACACCAAAGUGUAAUGGCGGUAUGGGCUUCCGUGAUCUGUGGAUCUUUAACUUGGCAUUGUUAGGAAAGCAUGGAUGGCGCUUCAUGACAAACCCUGAUUCCUUGUGUGCCAGGGUAAUGAAAGGGAGAUAUUUUCCUGACACGGACUUCAUGCAUGCCUCGGUACCGAACUCCUCCUCGGCGACGUGGAGAGCUAUAGUGGCAGGCCGUGAAGCCUUGCAGGCGGGACUGGUGAAGCGGGUCGGCAAUGGGUCCUCUAUAUCUGUAUGGGAGGACAAGUGGAUCCCUUCUACGGUUACAAUGCCAUCGAUGCUACGACCAGCAAAUGCGACAGUCCUUACUGUCGAUGAGUUGAUUGAUACGGAAAGCUGGAGUUGGCGGAGGGAACUAGUAAGAGAAAACUUCAUUGCACCGGAUGUGACAGCAAUUCUGAAUAUUCCGCUACAGCGGGGAGGAGGUGAGGAUUUUCUCGCGUGGGCACAUGAGAAGUCAGGCAACUACUCUGUUAAAUCA